AUGCGCCACCCGUACACUCCGGUUGCUCCGCGCCGUCCACGCCCAGCUGACGGCUGUUCGCGAGGUUUUGGUAGCC
RNAcentral lists this small RNA (76 nucleotides) under Xanthomonas citri pv. citri. RNAcentral's name for it is "sX9 sRNA". It matches the Rfam family "Xanthomonas sRNA sX9". The record is from RNAcentral. Lineage: Bacteria; Pseudomonadati; Pseudomonadota; Gammaproteobacteria; Lysobacterales; Lysobacteraceae.